CCCUUAGAUGUUCUGGGCUGCACGCGCGCUACACUGAUGCGUUCAACGAGUCCAUGACCUUGCCCGGCAGGGUUGGGUAAUCUUCUGAAAACGCAUCGUGAUGGGGAUAGAUUAUUGCAAUUAUUAAUCUUCAACGAGGAAUGCCUAGUAGGCGCAAGUCAUCAGCUUGCGUCGAUUACGUCCCUGCCCUUUGUACACACCGCCCGUCGCUCCUACCGAUUGGGUGUGCUGGUGAAAUGUUCGGAUCGGCCGUUUGUCGCGGUUUCCGCGUCAUGUGGCUGAGAAGUUCAUUAAACCCUCCCACCUAGAGGAAGGAGAAGUCGUAACA
RNAcentral lists this ribosomal RNA (328 nucleotides) under uncultured eukaryote. RNAcentral's name for it is "partial 18S ribosomal RNA". It matches the Rfam family "Eukaryotic small subunit ribosomal RNA", at positions 1470 to 1796 of the family's 1831-position model. The record is from RNAcentral.